This is a long non-coding RNA of Homo sapiens (human), 701 nucleotides long. RefSeq annotates it as SAMD12 antisense RNA 1. The record is from RefSeq and is marked validated. NCBI's taxonomy places the organism in Eukaryota, Metazoa, Chordata, Mammalia, Primates, Hominidae. The transcript has 5 exons.
AGUUUGUGUUCCAAGGUAAGAUAACCUGAAAUGAAAAACUCAGGAUCCCUCACGAACAGCCUGACCCUGCUUUCAACCAGGAAGUUCAAGGGAGGCAGGACUUUACGGUCAAAACUGCAAAGCCGAAGCUCAAGACUGUAAGAAGAAAGUGAUCUUCAAAGAAAAGGAUUCACCCAAAUCGAAGAGGAUAUCGUUUCGCAUCAGGGACACUCGUCUCCACACCUCCUACCUCAAAGUCCUACGCACCUACCCUUCACGUCUCUCCAAAGCAACUGAAUUAAAGCGCCUACUGGCCUUGGCGGCGCAGGUCCCAAGAUUUUGACUGAUUGGUUGUACGACUAGAGUUGCUGGAGUUCAAGUAUUUUCAUUUUAACUAUUCAACUGAAAGCAGUGCGUUACAACAGAACACGGGUUCCAAAGAAUUUACUGAGAAGAAGCAAAGUAAUACUUGGGAGAACUAUAAUACACAGGCAUCUCAUGAAAAUCAUCCAACAUAUAGAAGAAUAUAUAGAAUAAAGCAAAAAUCAUCAGAAACUCCACCGUCUUGGAUGACCAUAGUUGAUAUUCUGAAUGGCUUCUGUUCCGAUUGAACCUUGACUGAUGUAGCACCUAUCACCAAAUUGCUGUUCAGGAAAUAUGUCCUAAAGAAACUCCCAACAGCAGCAAUACAUCAGAGUGGCACCUCUUUACACUGGUUCUUG